This 646-nucleotide long non-coding RNA is filed under the name Equus caballus (horse). RNAcentral's name for it is "lncRNA (ENSECAG00000045456.1)". The record is from RNAcentral. Lineage: Eukaryota; Metazoa; Chordata; Mammalia; Perissodactyla; Equidae.
CUGAGGUUGGCCCGGCAGAGCAUCCUGGCGGCCUCCCUGGUCCGUAUCCGAAGAGACCGUGAGAGUGGGCCGGCCCCUCUGAGGAGAUGGUCCCUUAGGAGCAUCCAUGUCCUCAUCCUCCCGAAGUGGGCGGGAAAGGGAGCCCAAGGAACCUCAUUUCACUCCCUCAACAACACUGUGAGGUUGACUGUGCUCCCCGCAGCUCAGGAAUUAUUUGCUGCCUUCCCUCUGGUCGACGGCACCCAGUCCUGCCGUGGGUCCCCCACCACCUGUCCAGCCUCAGCCAUGCCGUGCUGGCACCAGGGUCAGGCUAGAGUGUCCUGGUGACCCUGUCAUGCCUCUGCAAGGUAGCCUGGGAAUCUGAGACAGGCAAGGUGACACCUCCUGUGGGAGGCCAAGGACACCACGCGCUAUCCGACGAGCCACAGUGGAUCCAUAGCACAGCUCAGAGGGCCAGGAGCUGCCCGGGACCCAGCCCUAGCUGCCCACACUCUCCUCACCUCAGCACAAGCGUGUGAGUGGGUGUCUUCAUCUUCCUCUAUUUUGUAUGUAGGACACCGCUACAGCACAGCUUGAUGAGCCAUGUGUAGGUCCACGCCCGGAAUCCGAACCCGUGAACCCUGAGCCGCUGAAGCAAAGCCCGCAG